UCUUUGCUGCAAAUAUAUACAGUACUGUGGAGAAUAAUCCUGCAUCAGCCAGAGAGAUGGACAUGAUGAGCGAAUAGACCACUCUUCUUUAAGAAAAUGUAGUGCAGGUGAAGGGCCCACCAAUUGACAAUGUUGGAGCCCAAUUCUUUUGCCACCGGAUGCAAAUAACGACUUGACUUCACUGGGAGUUACUUGUACACAGUGGUAGGAGAAAUGAGUUUCUGGAACCUGAACAUUUCUGUUAGUCCACAGAACUAAUCUGUUCUAUUCAGGUUUUUAUGUAGUGCCUAUCUCUGUGGUAUCUGCUGCUAUCUGUGUAAGUUUCCUCUUCAAAUAUGCUUCAUCCCUGAGCUGGAGAAGACACUUGAGUCAGAAGGGAGUUCAGAAAGACCACUUCAAGGGCAGUGCGUUUGGUCUGAAGUGUGUCAGAGACUCCCCUGGGGAUAACAAACCUGAUGCUCAGAGCCAGAGCCACCAGCACCAGCAGAAGCAAAACCCGAGGACUCAUCAUGGUGACAGCCAUGUCAUGGACACCUCCCUGAAGAUUAGCAAAGUGGCUAGUGUCCCUGGAGCCUUGUUAUAUACUACAGCUGG
Long non-coding RNA from Chrysemys picta bellii (western painted turtle), 594 nucleotides. RefSeq lists it as uncharacterized. NCBI's taxonomy places the organism in Eukaryota, Metazoa, Chordata, Testudines, Emydidae. The record is from RefSeq and is a predicted model, not a curated record.